GAAGAUAGGCUGACCGGCUACUUGGCCUCAAACGUCUAGUUGACGCCUCUGCUCUUAAUUGAGUGGGGGUCUAGGCUGGACCUUUUACCUUGAAGAAAUUGGAGUGUUCAAAGCAGAUUUUCAUUCGUCUUGCACAUAUAGCAUGGGACAAUGAAGAAGACUGUGUCAGAGUCUGGUAGUAGCUCUGCAUGUAUGAUCGAUAGGGGCGAAGGGGCGGUGGUAUUCAGCGCUAGAGUGAAAUCUUAGAUUCGCUGCAGACUCCGGAAGCAAAAGCGUUCCGCUACCGUACUCCCGUUGAUCAAGAACGAAAGUUAGGGGAUCGAAGACGAUCAGAUACCGUCGUAGUCUUAACUAUAAACGAUGCGGACCAGAGGUUAAGCCUCAUCCUUUGUACGAUAUUCCUAGCAUCUUUGCGAGAAAUCAUUGAGUUUUUGCGUUCUGGGGGGAGUAUGGUCGCAAGGCUGAAACUUAAAGGAAUUGACGGAAGAUCACCACCAGGAGUGGAAUCUGCGGCUUAAUUUGACUCAACACGGGGAAACUCACUCGGUCAGGACAUAGUAAGGAUUGACAGAUUGAUAGCUCUUUCUUAAUUUCUAUGGGUGGUGGUGCAUGGUCGUUCUUAGUUGGUGGAGUGAUUUGUCUGGUUAAUUCCGAUAACGAACGAGACCUCAGCUUGUUAACUAGUCUGUGCAAUCUUCUAUAUGGGAGAAGUUACUCGACCACCUGGAGCU
RNAcentral lists this ribosomal RNA (731 nucleotides) under uncultured eukaryote. RNAcentral describes it as "bacterial SSU rRNA". It matches the Rfam family "Eukaryotic small subunit ribosomal RNA", at positions 665 to 1404 of the family's 1831-position model. The record is from RNAcentral.